UCUCAAGUAUAUGAAGAGCAUAUGGUGGAUGCCUAGGCGAAUAGAGGCGAAGAAGGACGUGUUACGCUGCGAUAAGCGUUGGUUAGCUGCGAAAAAGCUUUGAUCCGACGAUUUCCGAAUGGGGCAACCCGGCUAUUUAUAGUCAUCUAUGACUGAAUACAUAGGUCAUGGAAGCGAACUCAGGGAACUGAAACAUCUUAGUACCUGAAGGAAAGGACAUCAACCGAGACUCCGUUAGUAGUGGCGAGCGAACGCGGACCAGGCCAGUGGCUGCAGAUUAAAAACCGGAACAUUCUGGAAAGGAUGGCCGUAGUGGGUGAUAGCCCCGUACGGGUAAAUUGGUUUGCAGUCCUCGAGUAGGGCGGAACACGUGAAAUUCUGUCUGAAAAUGGGGGGACCACCCUCCAAGCCUAAGUACUCCUAUUCGACCGAUAGUGAACAAGUACCGUGAGGGAAAGGUGAAAAGCACCCCGAUAAGGGGAGUGAAAGAGACCCUGAAACCGUAUGCUUACAAUCAGUUGGAGCCCCUUUAUGGGGUGACAGCGUACCUUUUGUAUAAUGGGCCAACGACUUAAUUUAUCAUGCGAGCUUAAGCCGUUAGGUGUAGGCGCAGCGAAAGCGAGUCUUAAUAGGGCGAUUUAGUAUGAUGUAUUAGACCCGAAACCGAGUGAUCUAGUUAUGGGCAGGUUGAAGGUGCGGUAACACGCACUGGAGGACCGAACCCACGUCUGUUGAAAAAGACGGGGAUGACCUGUGACUAGGGGUGAAAGGCCAAUCAAACUCGGAGAUAGCUGGUUCUCCGCGAAAUCUAUUUAGGUAGAGCGUCGGAUUAAUACCGUCGGGGGUAGAGCACUGGAUGGAUGCGGGGGGCGCGAGCCUUACCAAUUCUAACCAAACUCCGAAUACCGAUGAGUACUGUCCGGCAGACACACUACGGGUGCUAAGGUCCGUAGUGGAGAGGGAAACAGCCCUGACCGACAGCUAAGGUCCCAAAGUCAUGUCUAAGUGGGAAAGCAAGUGAGAAGGCCAAAACAACCAGGAGGUUGGCUUAGAAGCAGCCACCCUUUAAAGAAAGCGUAACAGCUCACUGGUCUAAUAGCCAUCUUGCGGCGAAGAUGUAACGGGGCUAAAGACAUGCACCGAAGCUUCGGAUUUGAUGUUUUGCAUCAAGUGGUAGCGGAGCGUUCUGUAAGCCUGUGAAGGGGUACCCGCGAGGGGUCCUGGAGGUAUCAGAAGCGCGAAUGUUGGCAUGAGUAACGAUAAAGAGUGUGAGAGACACUCUCGCCGAAAAUCCAAGGGUUCCUGCGUAAAGUUAAUCUGCGCAGGGUUAGCCGGUCCCUAAGGCAAGGCCGAAAGGCGUAGUCGAUGGGAACUCAGUUUAAUAUUACUGGGCCUGAUGAGAAGUGACGGAUGGUGUAAAUGGUUCUUCCUUACUGGAUUGGAAGGGCUGUGAAACCGUCCCAGGAAAUAGCCUCAUCAUUAUAGACCGUACCCCAAACCGACACAGGUGGAUAGGUAGAGCAUACCAAGGCGCUUGAGAGAACGAUGUUGAAGGAACUCGGCAAAUUGCCUCCGUAACUUCGGGAGAAGGAGGCCCUCACAGAAGGCAACUUUUGUGAGGGGGCACAGACCAGGGGGUGGCGACUGUUUACUAAAAACACAGGGCUCUGCGAAGUCUCAAGACGACGUAUAGGGUCUGACGCCUGCCCGGUGCUGGAAGGUUAAAAGGAGGUGUGCAAGCACUGAAUUGAAGCCCCAGUAAACGGCGGCCGUAACUAUAACGGUCCUAAGGUAGCGAAAUUCCUUGUCGGGUAAGUUCCGACCUGCACGAAUGGCGUAACGACUUCCCCACUGUCUCCAACAUCGACUCAGUGAAAUUGAAUUCCCCGUGAAGAUGCGGGGUACCCGCGGUUAGACGGAAAGACCCCGUGCACCUUUACUAUAGCUUUAGAGUGAUAAUGGAUAUGUUAUGUGUAGAAUAGGUGGGAGGCUUUGAAGCAGUUGCGCCAGUAGCUGUGGAGCCACAAUGUGAAAUACCACCCUUAACCUGUCUAUUAUCUAACCACGACCCGUGAACCCGGGUCUGGGACCCUCUAUGGUGGGUAGUUUGACUGGGGCGGUCGCCUCCCAAAGAGUAACGGAGGCGCGCGAUGGUAGGCUCAGGUUGGUCGGAAAUCAACUGUGAGAGUGCAAUGGCAUAAGCCUGCCUGACUGCGAGACUGACAAGUCGAGCAGAGACGAAAGUCGGUCAUAGUGAUCCGGUGGUCCCGCGUGGAAGGGCCAUCGCUCAACGGAUAAAAGGUACGCCGGGGAUAACAGGCUGAUAACGCCCAAGAGUCCAUAUCGACGGCGUUGUUUGGCACCUCGAUGUCGGCUCAUCUCAUCCUGGGGCUGGAGCAGGUCCCAAGGGUAUGGCUGUUCGCCAUUUAAAGAGGUACGUGAGCUGGGUUUAGAACGUCGUGAGACAGUUCGGUCCCUAUCUGCCGUGGGCGCAGGAGAAUUGAGAGGAUCUGUCCCUAGUACGAGAGGACCGGGAUGGACACACCUCUGGUGGACCUGUUGUUGCGCCAGCAGCAUUGCAGGGUAGCUAUGUGUGGACAGGAUAACCGCUGAAAGCAUCUAAGCGGGAAACCCCCCUCAAGAUAAGUUCUCCCUUAAGAGCCGUGGAAGACCACCACGUUGAUAGGCUGGAUGUGGAAGUGCAGUAAUGUAUGAAGCUGACCAGUACUAAUUACUCAAUCGACUUGAUAUCUCAUCAUGA
Molecule: ribosomal RNA, 2761 nt
Filed under: Kordiimonadaceae bacterium
Lineage: Bacteria; Pseudomonadati; Pseudomonadota; Alphaproteobacteria; Kordiimonadales; Kordiimonadaceae
Description: 23S ribosomal RNA
Rfam family: Bacterial large subunit ribosomal RNA
Source: RNAcentral